RNAcentral lists this ribosomal RNA (120 nucleotides) under Arabidopsis halleri subsp. gemmifera. Lineage: Eukaryota; Viridiplantae; Streptophyta; Magnoliopsida; Brassicales; Brassicaceae. The record is from RNAcentral.
GGAUGCGAUCAUACCAGCACUAAUGCACCAGAUCCCAUCAAAACUCCGCAGUUAAGCGUGCUUGGGCGAGAGUAGUAUUAGGAUGGGUGACCUCCCGGGAAGUUGUAACACCCGCGUCCC